AUGAACGCUGGCGGCGUGCCUAAUACAUGCAAGUCGCGCGAACAGACGAGGAGCUUGCUCCUCUGACGUUAGCGGCGGACGGGUGAGUAACACGUGGAUAACCUACCUAUAAGACUGGGAUAACUUCGGGAAACCGGAGCUAAUACCGGAUAAUAUAUUGAACCGCAUGGGUCCAUAGUGAAAGACGGUUUUGCUGUCACUUAUAGAUGGAUCCGCGCCGCAUUAGCUAGUUGGUAAGGUAACGGCUUACCAAGGCAACGAUGCGUAGCCGACCUGAGAGGGUGAUCGGCCACACUGGAACUGAGACACGGUCCAGACUCCUACGGGAGGCAGCAGUAGGGAAUCUUCCGCAAUGGGCGAAAGCCUGACGGAGCAACGCCGCGUGAGUGAUGAAGGUCUUCGGAUCGUAAAACUCUGUUAUUAGGGAAGAACAAAUGUGUAAGUAACUAUGCACGUCUUGACGGUACCUAAUCAGAAAGCCACGGCUAACUACGUG
RNAcentral lists this ribosomal RNA (496 nucleotides) under uncultured bacterium. RNAcentral describes it as "partial 16S ribosomal RNA". It matches the Rfam family "Bacterial small subunit ribosomal RNA", at positions 29 to 507 of the family's 1533-position model. The record is from RNAcentral.